ACCACAGUAUUCUGAACGCGAAUAGUAUAGCUAAAUGAGGCACUCGGAUAGGAUGGAGAAAACCAAAAGCUGGCGUGUGAAAGGGCAGGUGAAAAAAAAAAAACUAAUAGAACGGGAAGGGUUCAUGAAAAUGGAGAAAAGAAAAUUGAAGUGGAUGAACUGGCAAAAGAUUUUGAAGCAGGGCAAUUAACAGAAUAAUCAAGAAGAGAAAUACAGCAAAAGGACCUGGAGAAAAGAACUGUAGCAUCAAUGAAGAGAAAGGUUGAAGGCCAUGUUUUGUAGCUGAAGCACUGGAAAUAAAUGAAGAAUAAGCACAGCACGUGGUGCCAGGACAUUGCAGGGCAUCACCCACUCAAGCUCAUACUGGAAAAGAUGAUCCAUGGUCCAACCACUGAUGACGUCACUUUUGGUUUCCGGUCUCCUGAACCCACCUUACACUUUUCAGCCCUUAAAACUGGCUCCUCUGCCAUCUUGAGGCAGUCUAUCAUCAACUCCCAUCUUAAAAGAUAUACAUUUAUUUUGUUUUGUUGAAAUCUUUUUACAAUUAAACGGUUAUGAUGUU
Molecule: long non-coding RNA, 562 nt
Organism: Polypterus senegalus (gray bichir)
Lineage: Eukaryota; Metazoa; Chordata; Cladistia; Polypteriformes; Polypteridae
Exons: 4
Source: RefSeq, a predicted model, not a curated record